GGCGAAUGAAAGAGGGAAAAGCCCAAAUUUGUAAUCUGGCUCUUUCAGAGUCCGAGUUGUAAUUUUAAGAACUGUUUUCAGUGCUGGACCAUGUACAAGUCUUCUGAAAAGAAGCAUCAUAGAAGGUGAUAAUCCUGUUCAUGAUAUGGACUACCAGUGCAAUAUGAUACAGUCUCUAAGAGUCGAGUUGUUUGGGAAUGCAGCUCAAAGUGGGUGGUAAAUUCCAUCUAAGGCUAAAUAUUGAUGAGAGACCGAUAGCAAACAAGUACCGUGAGGGAAAGAUGAAAAGAACUUUGGAAAGAGAGUUAACAGUACGUGAAAUUGUUAAAAGGGAAACAAUUGAAGUUAGACUUGUUAUUAAUAGUUCAACCUUUUUUUUUAAAAAGGAGUAUUCUAUUGAUUAACAGACCAACAUCAAUUUUUGGGUGUUGGAUAAGGGUUUAAGGAAAUGUAGCAGUUUUUGACUGUGUUAUAUUCCUUUUGAGCUUUGAUACAAUGCUUAAGAUUGAGGAAUG
RNAcentral lists this ribosomal RNA (515 nucleotides) under Puccinia tanaceti. RNAcentral describes it as "eukaryotic LSU rRNA". It matches the Rfam family "Eukaryotic large subunit ribosomal RNA", at positions 88 to 602 of the family's 3401-position model. The record is from RNAcentral. Lineage: Eukaryota; Fungi; Basidiomycota; Pucciniomycetes; Pucciniales; Pucciniaceae.